Molecule: ribosomal RNA, 1532 nt
Filed under: Escherichia coli
Lineage: Bacteria; Pseudomonadati; Pseudomonadota; Gammaproteobacteria; Enterobacterales; Enterobacteriaceae
Description: bacterial SSU rRNA
Rfam family: Bacterial small subunit ribosomal RNA
Source: RNAcentral
CUCAGAUUGAACGCUGGCGGCAGGCCUAACACAUGCAAGUCGAACGGUAACAGGAAGCAGCUUGCUGCUUCGCUGACGAGUGGCGGACGGGUGAGUAAUGUCUGGGAAACUGCCUGAUGGAGGGGGAUAACUACUGGAAACGGUAGCUAAUACCGCAUAACGUCGCAAGACCAAAGAGGGGGACCUUCGGGCCUCUUGCCAUCGGAUGUGCCCAGAUGGGAUUAGCUUGUUGGUGGGGUAACGGCUCACCAAGGCGACGAUCCCUAGCUGGUCUGAGAGGAUGACCAGCCACACUGGAACUGAGACACGGUCCAGACUCCUACGGGAGGCAGCAGUGGGGAAUAUUGCACAAUGGGCGCAAGCCUGAUGCAGCCAUGCCGCGUGUAUGAAGAAGGCCUUCGGGUUGUAAAGUACUUUCAGCGGGGAGGAAGGGAGUAAAGUUAAUACCUUUGCUCAUUGACGUUACCCGCAGAAGAAGCACCGGCUAACUCCGUGCCAGCAGCCGCGGUAAUACGGAGGGUGCAAGCGUUAAUCGGAAUUACUGGGCGUAAAGCGCACGCAGGCGGUUUGUUAAGUCAGAUGUGAAAUCCCCGGGCUCAACCUGGGAACUGCAUCUGAUACUGGCAAGCUUGAGUCUCGUAGAGGGGGGUAGAAUUCCAGGUGUAGCGGUGAAAUGCGUAGAGAUCUGGAGGAAUACCGGUGGCGAAGGCGGCCCCCUGGACGAAGACUGACGCUCAGGUGCGAAAGCGUGGGGAGCAAACAGGAUUAGAUACCCUGGUAGUCCACGCCGUAAACGAUGUCGACUUGGAGGUUGUGCCCUUGAGGCGUGGCUUCCGGAGCUAACGCGUUAAGUCGACCGCCUGGGGAGUACGGCCGCAAGGUUAAAACUCAAAUGAAUUGACGGGGGCCCGCACAAGCGGUGGAGCAUGUGGUUUAAUUCGAUGCAACGCGAAGAACCUUACCUGGUCUUGACAUCCACGGAAGUUUUCAGAGAUGAGAAUGUGCCUUCGGGAACCGUGAGACAGGUGCUGCAUGGCUGUCGUCAGCUCGUGUUGUGAAAUGUUGGGUUAAGUCCCGCAACGAGCGCAACCCUUAUCCUUUGUUGCCAGCGGUCCGGCCGGGAACUCAAAGGAGACUGCCAGUGAUAAACUGGAGGAAGGUGGGGAUGACGUCAAGUCAUCAUGGCCCUUACGACCAGGGCUACACACGUGCUACAAUGGCGCAUACAAAGAGAAGCGACCUCGCGAGAGCAAGCGGACCUCAUAAAGUGCGUCGUAGUCCGGAUUGGAGUCUGCAACUCGACUCCAUGAAGUCGGAAUCGCUAGUAAUCGUGGAUCAGAAUGCCACGGUGAAUACGUUCCCGGGCCUUGUACACACCGCCCGUCACACCAUGGGAGUGGGUUGCAAAAGAAGUAGGUAGCUUAACCUUCGGGAGGGCGCUUACCACUUUGUGAUUCAUGACUGGGGUGAAGUCGUAACAAGGUAACCGUAGGGGAACCUGCGGUUGGAUCACCUCCUUACCUUAAAGAAGC